RNAcentral lists this long non-coding RNA (412 nucleotides) under Homo sapiens (human). Its description in RNAcentral is "HSALNT0389242". Lineage: Eukaryota; Metazoa; Chordata; Mammalia; Primates; Hominidae. The record is from RNAcentral.
AUGGCCUGCAAGAGAAAGGAAGAAUACAAAAUGGAAGCCUGGGAUAGAGAUCAUCUCCUAGGAAAGGGGGAGGCCACCCAAGGCCUGUCAGGGGGAGGGCUCCACUUCUCAGCCCAUCUGCAGUAGGUCCACAUUCGGGGUAGGCAAGAGCAAGGCCUGCUGGAAAGGGAAACUGCUCAUCAAGAAACUGAGGGAGGCUGGGCACGGUGGUUCAUGCCUGUAAUCCCAGCACUCUGGAAGUCCAAGCAGCACUGGCUCCUUCUUAGUCCCAUGGAAGCACAGAUCAACAUCAUUGCCCUUGCAAACUUCUCUCAGCUUAGGAGAGUCUACUCGCUCUUUGCACAUUGUUGACAUGAAAUGAAUAUUAAACACCAAACCUCAUAGAGGCCAGCCCUGCUGGGCGAGCAAUGAA